Molecule: ribosomal RNA, 301 nt
Filed under: uncultured bacterium
Lineage: Bacteria
Description: partial 16S ribosomal RNA
Rfam family: Bacterial small subunit ribosomal RNA
Source: RNAcentral
CAGCCGCCGCGGGAAUACGAAGGGUGCAAGCGUUACUCGGAAUUACUGGGCGUAAAGCGUGCGUAGGUGGUGGUUUAAGUCCGUUGUGAAAGCCCUGGGCUCAACCUGGGAAUUGCAGUGGAUACUGGGUCACUAGAGUGUGGUAGAGGAUAGUGGAAUCUCCGGUGUAGCAGUGAAAUGCGUAGAGAUCGGAAGGAACAUCUGUGGCGAAGGCGACUAUCUGGGCCAACACUGACACUGAGGCACGAAAGCGUGGGGAGCAAACAGGAUUAGAUACCCCCGUAGUCCCUGUCUCUUAUAU